AGGAAAUUUAUUGCGGAGGAUAUCAACCAGCAGGUGGGAGGACUGCCUCAAAUCCGCCUCCCCGACUGAGGGAGUCAGAGGUUUUUCUAGAGGUGACAUGAAUAACGCAUGAAGUGAGUGAGCAGCAUUACACGUUUGGCGUGGAGUGCAAGGCACGCAAGCGCAGCGAGAAAUCGUGCUGGCACAUACAUCGCAUGAUCAAAAAGUGGGGAUGUGUGCUGUGAGGGUCACAGCAAUGUGAUGUGCCACGAGCCCAUGAAAUCACAAGGACAAAGUGUAGCAUCUACCAGGAGAAGCCAUUCCAGUCAAUUUCAGCUAGGAGGUCUGGGUGCCACAUCCUAAAAAUGGGACGGUUCUUUGCCACCCUCUCUGUACCUGCUCAGCUUGAGAACAUCACAUCCUCUGCAACCUAGCUGAAGGCCACAUGUUCCAGAUGACCCUACUACAAGACAGCAGAGCCGGAGUGAUCAGGCAUUACUGCAUGGGGGCUUCAGAACCCUCACUAAUCCAAGCUGGACAUCAGUAUGGGAGAAGCAAAUCGUCCUUCGUUGUUUUAAGCCACUGAGGUUUUGCGUUUGUUGGUUAUUGUAACAUAACCAAGAAUGUCCUGUUGGAACACCCCUUUAAAUCUUUGCUCAAAUGUCACCUCAUCAAAGAGGUCUUCCCUGAUACCCUAUCCAAAAUAGCAGCCCUCUGCCUGUCACUUCUGUGCCCCAACUUGGCUUAUUUUGCUCUAUAUGACCUAUUUUCCUUAUAGAACUUAGAAUGGAAGUUUUGUGAAAAUAGCAACUUUGAUUUGUUCAUUAAUAUACUAAUUAGCAUCAAGAAUAGUCCCUGGAACAUAGCAAAUGAUCAAUAGCUA
Microcebus murinus (gray mouse lemur) is the source of this 862-nucleotide non-coding RNA. Lineage: Eukaryota; Metazoa; Chordata; Mammalia; Primates; Cheirogaleidae. The record is from RefSeq and is a predicted model, not a curated record.